UGGUGGAGUGAUUUGUCUGGUUAAUUCCGUUAACGAACGAGACCUCGACCUGCUAAAUAGUAUCGGGAACCCUCGGGUUCGCAGAAACUUCUUAGAGGGACUUUGCCUGUUUAGGGCAAGGAAGUUCGAGGCAAUAACA
Molecule: ribosomal RNA, 139 nt
Filed under: uncultured eukaryote
Lineage: Eukaryota
Description: partial 18S ribosomal RNA
Rfam family: Eukaryotic small subunit ribosomal RNA
Source: RNAcentral